RNAcentral lists this transfer RNA (84 nucleotides) under Bacteroidota bacterium. Its description in RNAcentral is "Bacteroidetes bacterium (freshwater sediment metagenome) tRNA-Leu". It matches the Rfam family "tRNA". From Rfam's summary of the family: Transfer RNA (tRNA) molecules are approximately 80 nucleotides in length. Lineage: Bacteria; Pseudomonadati; Bacteroidota. The record is from RNAcentral.
GCCCAGGUGGCGGAAUUGGUAGACGCGCACGACUCAAACUCGUGUACCACUGGUGUGCGGGUUCGACUCCCGCCCUGGGCACAA